ACACAUGCAAGUCGAGCGGUAGCACAGGGGUAGCUUGCUCCCCGGGUGACGAGCGGCGGACGGGUGAGUAAUGUCUGGGAAACUGCCUGAUGGAGGGGGAUAACUACUGGAAACGGUAGCUAAUACCGCAUAACGUCGCAAGACCAAAGAGGGGGACCUUCGGGCCUCUUGCCAUCAGAUGUGCCCAGAUGGGAUUAGCUAGUAGGUGGGGUAAUGGCUCACCUAGGCGACGAUCCCUAGCUGGUCUGAGAGGAUGACCAGCCACACUGGAACUGAGACACGGUCCAGACUCCUACGGGAGGCAGCAGUGGGGAAUAUUGCACAAUGGGCGCAAGCCUGAUGCAGCCAUGCCGCGUGUGUGAAGAAGGCCUUCGGGUUGUAAAGCACUUUCAGCGAGGAGGAAGGUGGUGAGCUUAAUACGUUCAUCAAUUGACGUUACUCGCAGAAGAAGCACCGGCUAACUCCGUGCCAGCAGCCGCGGUAAUACGGAGGGUGCAAGCGUUAAUCGGAAUUACUGGGCGUAAAGCGCACGCAGGCGGUUUGUUAAGUCAGAUGUGAAAUCCCCGGGCUCAACCUGGGAACUGCAUUUGAAACUGGCAAGCUAGAGUCUCGUAGAGGGGGGUAGAAUUCCAGGGUGUAGCGGUGAAAUGCGUAGAGAUCUGGAGGAAUACCGGUGGCGAAGGCGGCCCCCUGGACGAAGACUGACGCUCAGGUGCGAAAGCGUGGGGAGCAACCAGGAUUAGAUACCCUGGUAGUCCACGCUGUAAACGAUGUCGAUUUGGAGGUUGUGCCC
This 793-nucleotide ribosomal RNA is filed under the name Serratia sp. J009. RNAcentral's name for it is "bacterial SSU rRNA". It matches the Rfam family "Bacterial small subunit ribosomal RNA", at positions 51 to 831 of the family's 1533-position model. Lineage: Bacteria; Pseudomonadati; Pseudomonadota; Gammaproteobacteria; Enterobacterales; Yersiniaceae. The record is from RNAcentral.